AAAAUAUAAGAAACAGGAUUUGGUUAAGAAAGUUGAAAUUAUGGAGGGCUUUGAUAACCCAUGGGCAGCUGAUGAAAAUGGAAGUCUGAGCAGCUUAAAGAAACCAGAGCACAUGAAUAAUGGGUAAGCAGACUGUUACUAUCACAAAUGUAUUUAAAAGUUGCAUAUAAAAACAGUGGUUCUAGUUUAUUCUGGUACCAUAGGAUUUUUCUUGGAUCUCUCACUGGGCUAUAGGUCCAUAUAACGUAUCCUUAAAAUGAGAAGUUAAAAAUCUUCACACUUGAAGGAAGUUAAUACCUUUUAAUCUUGUAUCAAAGGCAAAUUCCUACUUAUUCUUUAGCAAAUUGUUAAUCCUAAUGCAGAAAUGACCCUUCAGGAUAAAAGAAGCUACUUAAUUCCCCUGGGUAAAAUCCCACUAAUUUUGAGAUCACGCUGCUCUUGGUUGUAGAGAGGCUGGGAUUUUUGUCUCAGCUCAAGGUGCUAUGAAUUCUCUGAACUCUCUUAGGAGAACUGAGAUGAUGUCAUUUGACAACCUGGAAGGCACCAGAGGGGAUGAUCCUGGAAAAAAUGAAAUUCAGGCCUCUGGAAAAAACAAAUACCUGGAGACAGUGCUGCUGGAUUACAAGGGUGAAAGUGAGCAAAAGGGAGCACCUGAAAAAGCUGCUGAAAGUAGAAAUGUGGACGUCCAGCCCACUGUGGGAUUCACAACAAAACAGGAUUCCUUUCCCACAAACACGAACCAGAAGCCAGCCCUGUCCUUAACACCUCAUCCCACAUUGCCUGCCCCCGAAAAAGAACUGAAAGGAGUAAAAUUUUCAGAGGUGGCAGUGAUUUUGGACGCAGACGAUGGAGACGAUGAAUCUGGAGAUGAUGAAUCUGAGGAUGAUGAAUCUGGCGAUGAUGUAUCACUCUGAUAAGAACACUCGAUGAAGAAAAUAUUUACAAAAAACACAAUGAGACUCAUUGGAACAGCUCAGAAUGAGCACUAAGAAUAUGGGAAUGUUAUCCAGAUUUUAAUUCUGCUGCUGUUGUAAGGGUGGAUAAGGCAGAGAACUAGCAAUAUGCGGGAAGGGCUGCAGUGCUGUGCUGCAGGGCUGCUUCCCCAGCAGCAGCAGCGCUGUCUCACGGCGUAUUUCAUUUAUUUCGGCACGUGUCAAACGGGCAAGACAAUAAACCCGAUUCCAGAGGCGUUGCCUUGUCAUUGCUUCAGACGGAGUAAUUUUGGGAACAGCAAUUAUUCUGUUGUUUUGCGCAGAGGCGUCCGCCGCAGUCUUACAAAACGAGAAUCUGUUUUCUAAUUCUCCUGUUUUCGGAUUUUUUUUUGGU
RNAcentral lists this long non-coding RNA (1326 nucleotides) under Ficedula albicollis (Collared flycatcher). Its description in RNAcentral is "lncRNA (ENSFALG00000028112.1)". The record is from RNAcentral. Lineage: Eukaryota; Metazoa; Chordata; Aves; Passeriformes; Muscicapidae.